Molecule: RNA transcript, 3840 nt
Organism: Phyllopteryx taeniolatus (common seadragon)
Lineage: Eukaryota; Metazoa; Chordata; Actinopteri; Syngnathiformes; Syngnathidae
Gene: nfatc1
Gene name: nuclear factor of activated T cells 1
Exons: 12
Source: RefSeq, a predicted model, not a curated record
CCGACCACCCACCACAAACGAACCCUUUUGGAUUCCCCACCUUAGCAGCAAACAACCGCUGGGGCUGUUUUUUUUUUUUUUUUGCAAGUGGGCAACUCCUGGAACUGCGCGACUUUAUGGAUCACGAAGCGACCCGCUUUGCGUCGGAAGCAACAGUUUGACGUCAGCUUCUUUUCUCUCUCUCUUUUUUUUUUUUUGGAUCCGGGCUCGGAAAGGAGAUGAUGAAAUCAGCCGAGGAGGACGCGUACGGCUACACGCCCAACGUCAGCCUCUCCCUGCCGCUGGGCAACCAUCGCCUGGCCCCGCAGUACCUGAGCCUCCAGUCCAGCCCCGUCAUCUCGGUCUCGGAGGCCCCCGUCUUCGACGGCCGGGACGACCUGAGCGCCGCCGGCUACUACUCCGUCCGCCCGAACGGGGCGCCCGCCCUGGAGAGCCCCCGCAUCGAGAUCACGGCCUACGGUCAGUUCCCCGAAGACGCGGCGGAGCAGGACAGCCUUCCGGCGGCCAAGCGCCUCAACUCCGUCGUCACGUUGACGCUCCCCAGUGCCGACGGUUACCGGGACCCCAGCUGCCUGAGUCCCGCCAGCAGCGUCUCGUCCCGCAGUUGCCAGUCGGAGGCGUCGUCCUACGAGUCGGGCUUCUCGUACAACUGUGACCAAUCGCCGCAGAACUCCCCCUGGCAGUCGCCCUCGGUCUCCCCUAAGGGUUCCACCCUGGCCCUGCCGGGCGGUUCCCCGAGGCAGUCCCCCGCAACGUCACCCCGCACAAGCGUGACGGAUGACCCCUUCGUCGGCCGGGGAGGCUCCAGGCCCAACUCCCCUUGCGGCGCAAAGAGGAAGUACAGCUUCAACGGCGGCGGGGCGGCGCACAAGCACUACCAGCCCUCGCCCAACCGCUCGCUUGGCCCGUCACCCCAAACCUCGCCCCGCCUCAGCGUCACCGAGGAGUCCUGGCUGCCCAACACCAACCAAUACACCAACUCGGCCAUCUUGGCAGCCAUCAACGCUCUGAGCACGGACGGCAUGGCCGACCUGGCCGAAGGCAUACCCGUGAAAGCCCGGCGGACGGGCUUGGAGCACGGCCCCACCGUCAGCCUCAAGCUGGAGCCCGGCGGAGAGGAGCUGACGUCCGGGGAGCUGUGUCGAGACGAGCGCUCCUCCAACCGCAUUCCCCUGAAGAAGGAGGUAUACUGCGGAGGGUUCCUCGACGUGCCUCAGCACCAGUACUCCUGGUCUAAACCCAAGCAGUACGUCAGCCCGUCCCUGCCGGCCCUCGACUGGCAGCUGCCAUCCAGCUCGGGACCCUACAGCCUACAGAUCGAAGUGCAGCCCAAAUCCCACCACCGGGCCCACUACGAGACCGAAGGCAGCAGGGGGGCGGUGAAGGCUCUGGGCGGAGGACACCCCAUCGUACAGCUGCGCGGCUACGUGUCCAGCGAGCCGCUGACGCUGCAGCUGUUCAUCGGCACGGCGGACGAGCGGCUGCUGCGGCCGCACGCCUUCUACCAGGUGCACCGCAUCACCGGCAAGACCGUGUCCACGCCGAGCCACGAGGCGCUCUGCAACAACAACACCAAAGUGCUGGAGAUUCCGCUGCUGCCCGACAACAACAUGCGAGCCAUGAUCGACUGCGCGGGCAUCCUGAAGCUGCGCAACUCCGACAUUGAGCUGCGCAAGGGCGAGACCGACAUCGGGCGCAAGAACACGCGGGUGCGGAUGGUGUUCCGGGUGCACAUCAACCAGGCCGGCGGCAGGACCGUGUCCCUGCAGGCCGCGUCCAACCCCAUCGAGUGCUCCCAGAGGUCGGCUCAGGAACUGCCCCUGGUGGACAAGCAGAGCGCGGAGAGCAGCGCUGCCCCCGGAGGCCAGACCAUGAAACUGGACGGCCACAACUUCCAGGCCGACUCCAAGGUGGUGUUUGUGGAGAAGGCUCAAGACGGGCAUCACCUUUGGGAGACCGAGGCCAAGGUGGACAGAGACGCCUCCAAGCACAACAUGCUCCUGGUGGAAAUCCCGCCUUACCGCAACCAGCGUCCCUCCGCGCCGGCGCACGUCAACUUUUACGUCUGCAACGGCAAAAGGAAACGGAGUCAGUACCAGCGCUUCACCUACCUGCCUUCCACAGGUCCUUACUUGGAGAAAAAAAAGGUGGCAAAGAAUCCCGUCCAGCCCAGCCAGCAUUUAGUGUGUCAAGCCGUUGUUUCUCACGUACGCUGGACGCGGCGGGAGCGAGCGGGGCCCAAAGAAAACAAGCGUCUGUUCUCCCGCUGCUUCAACGCUUCUAUGAGUCAUCAGACACAAGUUCCGACCAUCAAAACGGAGCCGCGGGACGACUACGACGCCCCCCUGGCGUGCGCCCCCCUCGGGCCCGGCCUCUCCGCGCACCCCAAGCCCUACUCGCCCCCUCAGCUGACGUACACGCAGCAAAGAUCGGCACCCAAGCCCAACCCGGGCUCCUCCCCGAGCACCAGCCCCAAACUACACGACUUGCCGCCGCCCUUCCCCGCGCCCCACGUCUCCAUCAUCCAGGAGACCCCCGGCCGCUUCCAACCGCCAUCCCAGCCGUCUACGCCCGAAGCGCCCUUCUCACCCGGCGGCAGCCCCGCCGAGGCGCCGGAGAGCGGGGGGCGGGCCUCGGUGCGGGACGACGGCGGCCCCCCGGCGUUGGGCGUCAGCAUCAAGGAGGAACCGCAGGAACUGGACCAGAUGUACCUCGAUGAUGUUUGCUCUGUCGCCACGGCAACUCAACCAGGAAGAAGCGUUGUCGAAGCGACGGUCGGCCAAAGCCUGUGGCCCGGGGCGUCACUCUGGACUAUUUUCGGGGCCAUCGAUACAUUGACGUUUCUUCUCGGACGGACGGUCCGCUUCAAACGUGGCGGCGCGCUGGAAAGUAGGCCACGGCGAACAAACAGUUAGCUGGCUGGCUGCAAUCACGGAGAAAGAAAAAAAUACACAAAUUCAAAUCAUAAUUCCCUCCACCUUGACAAUUCUCAACGAGAUCAUCAGGAACGACCUGUCCAGCAUCUCCGUCCACAGCCACGCGUAGAACAACAAGUUGAAACGUUGCACGAGCGGCGAGGGGAACGCAGCGCGUCGCCAACAUCUGCCGUGUUUCUCGGGUCUUUUCCUCCGUUUCCAUUUCAGAAAAAGGACCAAACAUGCUUUCCUCUUCAUCCUGUGCUGCACUUUCAAAAACAGCAUCCAGUGCCUCAUCGUUAUGCCAUGUUUAUACAAAUAGAAAUAUUAGUCCAGAAAAGUGCCUUUUAACAACCAAAUACUUUCGACACUCACUCAAUUGCUUUUAGAUCAUUUUAAGGAAGCAUUUUCAAAAACGAAGCACUCAAGCUGUGGUAUGACGCUUUCAUGCACUUACUGUACAGUUUUUAAUGUAUUUUUACACGUUUAGGCAAUCGACUAUUCUUAUUCCUACCAAAGAACAAAUCAUCUCAAAACCAGCGAAGCUUGACUUCCAAAGAAGCAACGACUAACAGCUGCAAUAUUAGUACAUAGUAAUAUUUUUCAUAUUUAUUUCGCUUGCAUGUGCUCUGUGUACCCAUGUUUAUCAUGCAGCCUGUUACUUAUUGAGUUACUUUUUUUUUUUUUUACACACCGCAUGUAUUUAAGAGCCUUAACCCAUCUCAUUGAAGUUGACCAAAGAAUAAUCUUUAGGCCAUUUGUUAAUAUAAUACACAUUAUGUUGGAUUAGGAUGUUUAUUUGUCAGUAAAUCAUCCAAACAAAUAGCUGAGGGAAUGUUGCUUGAUUAUAUAUUUGUUCUUUUUUUUUUUUAAAUGUGGACGUGGCAACAAUUUGUUCAAGGCAAUAAAGUACUUUUUAUACGAA